Non-coding RNA from Xyrichtys novacula (pearly razorfish), 231 nucleotides. The record is from the annotation of a GenBank genome assembly. NCBI's taxonomy places the organism in Eukaryota, Metazoa, Chordata, Actinopteri, Labriformes, Labridae.
ACUACGGUGGCCCUGAGGUGCAAAACACAAUGGCAAAUCAGAAACACAACACAAAAAGAGUAAACACAACGGCAAAUCAGAAAACACAACACAAAAAGAGUAAACACAACAGCAAAUCAGAAAACAUAAUGUCAUUAACCACGGUGGUCUUCUGAUCUGCUGUUGUAUUUUCUCUUUUUGUGUUGUGUCUUCUGAUUUGCCGUUGUGUUUUGCACCUCAGGGCCACCAUAG